AUGCACGCGCAGAGGACGCGGGCGACUGCGGGGGCGACUGGUGUGGCGACCGCGGGUGCGCCGCUCCAAUCCUCCGGCGAUCGAAGGCGAGUCGGGGGCCGGUUCUGGGCCUUAGCCGAAGCCGACGAGGACGAUGCAGACGGGGAGGCGGACGCGACCUCGGCGGCAUCUCCGCCGUCGCCGACGCCGUCGAACCUUAUAUGCGAGUUUUCCAACUCCGGCUACGACGAAGAGGAAGUGGCGACGACGGUUGACAAGGUCUUGCCCCCUGAUGAUCCGGCCAGGAUAGGAUCACGCGGGAGAGAAGAAGGAGAUGAUUCGUCGUGUGGUUCAUCGGAGAACGGCGGCGACGGCGAUCAGGCCAUGGAAGGGCCCCCUCCCUAA
This 384-nucleotide ribosomal RNA is filed under the name Triticum aestivum (bread wheat). RNAcentral's name for it is "partial small subunit ribosomal RNA". The record is from RNAcentral. Lineage: Eukaryota; Viridiplantae; Streptophyta; Magnoliopsida; Poales; Poaceae.